This 524-nucleotide ribosomal RNA is filed under the name uncultured bacterium. RNAcentral's name for it is "partial 16S ribosomal RNA". It matches the Rfam family "Bacterial small subunit ribosomal RNA", at positions 28 to 523 of the family's 1533-position model. The record is from RNAcentral.
GACGAACGCUGGCGGCGUGCUUAACACAUGCAUGUCGAAUGGACGGACAGAGAGCUUGCUCUCUUGAAGUUAGUGGCGAACGGGUGAGUAACGCGUAAUCAACCUGCCCUUCAGAGGGGGAUAACAACGGGAAACCGUUGCUAAUACCGCGUACGAUUCAUGAACGGCAUCGUUUAUGAAUGAAAGGUGGCCUCUAUGUAUAAGCUAUCGCUGAAGGAGGGGAUUGCGUCUGAUUAGCUAGUUGGAGGGGUAACGGCCCACCAAGGCAAUGAUCAGUAGCCGGUCUGAGAGGAUGAACGGCCACAUUGGGACUGAGACACGGCCCAAACGCCUACGGGAGGCAGCAGUGGGGAAUCUUCCGCAAUGGACGAAAGUCUGACGGAGCAACGCCGCGUGAGUGAUGAAGGUCUUCGGAUUGUAAAGCUCUGUUAAUCGGGACGAAAGAGUUCUGCGUGAAUAAUGCAGAAAAGUGACGGUACCGGAAUAGAAAGCCACGGCUAACUACGUGCCAGCCGCCGCGGUAA